UUAAAGUAAAAUAAUAAUAGUAUGUAUGGUGCAGUCACAAAUUUCUUUAAAGACCAAAAGCUUAAAAUAUUUAAUAAAAAACUAAAUAAUCAAUUAAUAUGAAUUUAAACAUAAGUAAUGCAAAUAACCUAAAAAUAUAUAAAUGAGUUACAACUUUAUCAUUCCAUUAAAUACUAUUUUCUCCACUAAAGAGGUUUCACUUUCAAAACUCUC
RNAcentral lists this long non-coding RNA (213 nucleotides) under Brassica napus (rape). Its description in RNAcentral is "long non-coding RNA (BNAP_LNC007131)". Lineage: Eukaryota; Viridiplantae; Streptophyta; Magnoliopsida; Brassicales; Brassicaceae. The record is from RNAcentral.